Molecule: long non-coding RNA, 1192 nt
Filed under: Homo sapiens (human)
Lineage: Eukaryota; Metazoa; Chordata; Mammalia; Primates; Hominidae
Description: non-protein coding lnc-CLK1-1:7
Source: RNAcentral
AUCUGACCUCUACCCCACCCCCCCGCAACUUCAUGGAAAAAUGACUUUCUCAGCGUUCGUUCCUGAAAUUAUUGCCAAACCCAGUGUUUUAUUCUUCACCCUGUUUGCCUCCUCUGAGCAUUGAAUGUUACCUACCUCUCUCCUUGAAUCCUGGCUCCAGCUAUCCUGGUUACGUUCUGAAUGUGCCUUUGCACGGUAUUUUCUGACUCUUCUUUUCUGUACUGAUACCUUUUCUUUCUGGAUACUUUCUUCUAUGGCAGUCUCAUACAUUCUCAAGGAUUUAACAUUUACUCCACUUAAAAGAGUUCCAAGAUCAUCUACUGAAUCAUUAAGCAAAUAUUUGUUAAAUCCAGGCUCUAUGCCCUUCCAAGUUGAGGCAACAGCAGUGGGAAGGAGGCAGGAAACAAACUGCAUCUGUUGGAGGAACUGCAAGAAGCUAGUGUGAUUGGGAGGGCUGUGGGGAGCAGAGGGAAGUGGCUGGAGUCUGAUCUCUAAGUGUCUAGCCCCUUCCUUUCUCCCAAGGCCCCAGUCCACACUAUCUGGCAUCUUCACUUCAUGGCUAAUUUAACACUGUCAGUGCUGUCAAUUGCUCUUCCCCCAGAACUGUAUUUUUCACAUCUGAAGUUCUGUUAAAGGACAACGUUUCACAAAUAAAAAUGAUAACUAAUAUGUCCCUAUAUGUAUCAGGCCCUCUUCUAUGCACUUUAUGUAGUAACCCCAUUUCAUCCUGAAAACUACCCUGUAAUCUAGACACUAUUAUUAGUCCCAUUUUACAGAUGGAAAAGCCGAGGCAUCGAGGUCAGGUAACUUGUCUAAGAUCAUAGCGCUAGUAAGUGGAAGAGGUCCAGUUGAACCCAAGCAGUCUGGCUUCACCAUUAUAAUGCACCGCCUUACCACCAAGAUCUUAUUUAUUCAUUCAACAAAUAUUUAUUCAGCUAGAGACCAGUAGAGAUAGUGACAUGUUACGCCUAUGGCCUCACAAAGCUUAUCUUCUAUUUUUGCCACGUUUUAAAAUUGUAUCAUCUUUCCCCAGUACCAUCUUGAUUUAGGCAUCUAUUACCCCUAACUAAAUGGGACUUUUGCAAUAACUUCCUAACUGUACUAUCCCCUUUCUCAACAUUUCCAGAGCAAUCUUCUCAACUGCAAGCUGAAUCAUUUCUCUUCACUGUUUAAAUGCCUCUGUUUAUACUCA